This 420-nucleotide unclassified non-coding RNA is filed under the name soil metagenome. Its description in RNAcentral is "partial contains 5.8S ribosomal RNA, internal transcribed spacer 2, and large subunit ribosomal RNA". The stretch from base 1 to 120 matches the Rfam family "5.8S ribosomal RNA", at positions 35 to 154 of the family's 154-position model. The record is from RNAcentral.
GAUGAAGAACGUAGCGAAAUGCGAUACGUAAUGUGAAUUGCAGAAUUCAGUGAAUCAUCGAAUCUUUGAACGCAUAUUGCGCUCUUUGGUAUUCCGAAGAGCAUGCUUGUUUGAGUAUCAGUAAACACCUCAACCUCUUCUUGAUUUUUCAAAAGGAGGGUGGACUUGAGCUAUCCCAACAACCUUUACCGGUCGGCGGGCGGCUUGAAAUGCAGGUGCAGCUGGACUUUUAUCUGAGCUAAAAGCAUAUCUAUUUAGUCCUCGUCAAACAGGAUUAUUACUUUUGCUGCAGCUAACAUAAAGGAUAAUUGUCCUCUUUGCUGACUGAUGCAGGAUUUUACGACACUUUAUGUGUUGUUCAACUCGAUCUCAAAUCAAGUAAGACUACCCGCUGAACUUAAGCUUAUCAAUAGCGGAGGA